Molecule: ribosomal RNA, 1067 nt
Filed under: Pseudoalteromonas sp.
Lineage: Bacteria; Pseudomonadati; Pseudomonadota; Gammaproteobacteria; Alteromonadales; Pseudoalteromonadaceae
Description: bacterial SSU rRNA
Rfam family: Bacterial small subunit ribosomal RNA
Source: RNAcentral
AUGACGAGCGGCGGACGGGUGAGUAAUGCUUGGGAACAUGCCUUUAGGUGGGGGACAACCAUUGGAAACGAUGGCUAAUACCGCAUAAUGUCUACGGACCAAAGGGGGCUUCGGCUCUCGCCUUUAGAUUGGCCCAAGUGGGAUUAGGUAGUUGGUGAGGUAAUGGCUCACCAAGCCGACGAUCCCUAGCUGGUUUGAGAGGAUGAUCAGCCACACUGGAACUGAGACACGGUCCAGACUCCUACGGGAGGCAGCAGUGGGGAAUAUUGCACAAUGGGCGCAAGCCUGAUGCAGCCAUGCCGCGUGUGUGAAGAAGGCCUUCGGGUUGUAAAGCACUUUCAGUAAGGAGGAAAGGUUAGUAGUUAAUACCUGCUAGCUGUGACGUUACUUACAGAAGAAGCACCGGCUAACUCCGUGCCAGCAGCCGCGGUAAUACGGAGGGUGCGAGCGUUAAUCGGAAUUACUGGGCGUAAAGCGUACGCAGGCGGUUUGUUAAGCGAGAUGUGAAAGCCCCGGGCUCAACCUGGGAACUGCAUUUCGAACUGGCAAACUAGAGUGUGAUAGAGGGUGGUAGAAUUUCAGGUGUAGCGGUGAAAUGCGUAGAGAUCUGAAGGAAUACCGAUGGCGAAGGCAGCCACCUGGGUCAACACUGACGCUCAUGUACGAAAGCGUGGGGAGCAAACGGGAUUAGAUACCCCGGUAGUCCACGCCGUAAACGAUGUCUACUAGGAGUUCGGUUUUUCGGAACUGUCUUCCAAAGCUAACGCAUUAAGUAGACCGCCUGGGGAGUACAGCCGCAAGGUUAAAACUCAAAUGAAUUGACGGGGGCCCGCACAAACGGUGGAGCAUGUGGUUUAAUUCCAUGCAACGCGAAGAACCUUACCUACACUUGACAUCCAGAGAACUUACUAGAGAUAAUUUGGUGCCUUCGGGAACUCUGAGACAAGUGCUGCAUGGCUGUCGUCAGCUCAUGUUGUGAGAUGUUGGGUUAAGUCCCGCAACGACCGCAACCCCUAUCCUUAUUUGCCAGCGAUUCGGUCGGGAACUCUAAGGAAACUGCCGGUGAU